GUUGUUUUCCUCUCAUGUAGCAUUUUUCCAGUGUGUGAAAAUCUCUGGCCUCAAAGCACACUUGUGGGAACCCAUAAUUGAGUCUGAGAUCAUCCAACAGCAGCAGAAAGCUCUUACAGCCCCGAGAGCCUCAGGGAGCCAGGAAGCUUACAGAACCUUGCUGAAAAACACGGGAUCUAUAGCUAAAUCCAGAAAGCCCCCGGAGACCAUUUGGACCAACCCCUCCCACAGGUUAAAGCCCUGACCCCUGCCAUUCACUAUGGGAGAAGACAGCAACAGCUUUUCUGCCCCACUGGUGUUCUCUAGGGCUUUCUGACCCAGGUCCUCAUCAGCGCAGUCCCUAGCGUUGAGCCCAGCAACCCUAGGAUCAAGGCCUUGAAAGACAAGGUUUUGGGAUCUCCCAAAGGUAAUUGGGAUGUUUGGCAUUGUUUGCAUAUUAGUCUAGAAAACCUCACAUACAUCACUUGCUCCAGCACAGAUUACACUUCUUAAAAAAGACCCGAAAAGAACAUCAGGAUAUUAAAACACAAAACGCAACACAACUGUAUGUGAAUUUCUGUGCUCAAGAGAACAUAGUGAAAAUUAAUGUUGUGAUCUUUCUGAGCACAUAUCUUUUGCCAACAAUGUUUCUUCAACCACUGUUAACUAAAUCCAAGGACCUAUUACAUCGCAAAUGGAAGAUUAAAGAGAGUUUUUUUCUAAGCAGAUUUGUUGUACUCUUGCAAGGCAAUCUCUUGCUCAAUAGAAUUGUUUAUCUAUGGAAAAAUAUUUUACUUUGAGCAAACCUCCCUCAAAGACCCUAACAUAACUACUCUCUGAUAGCCAUUUUAGAGACACAUUGAGCAAAAGAUUCACAGUAACAGGAAGUUCAUGAAAUUACUCCUUUAGCACAAUAAAUUGUUCAAAACAAUUCUAAUAUAUUGAAGAGUUAAACUUCCUCAGAUAUUACAAUUAUAAAGAUUACAGAAAAGUAUUUUAUAUAUAUAGUUAUCUAAGAUUCUUUCUGUGGGUGGAGGGAGAAGUGGU
RNAcentral lists this long non-coding RNA (1026 nucleotides) under Homo sapiens (human). RNAcentral describes it as "HSALNT0028161". The record is from RNAcentral. Lineage: Eukaryota; Metazoa; Chordata; Mammalia; Primates; Hominidae.